Molecule: microRNA, 24 nt
Filed under: Schistosoma japonicum
Lineage: Eukaryota; Metazoa; Platyhelminthes; Trematoda; Strigeidida; Schistosomatidae
Description: miRNA-3148
Source: RNAcentral
CAGCCGUUCAGCUACCCAGUGUAU